RNAcentral lists this transfer RNA (64 nucleotides) under Taenia saginata (beef tapeworm). RNAcentral describes it as "tRNA-Phe". The record is from RNAcentral. Lineage: Eukaryota; Metazoa; Platyhelminthes; Cestoda; Cyclophyllidea; Taeniidae. RNAcentral also lists the same sequence under 1 other name.
UUUCUCUUAGCUUAAAAUUUAAAGCGUCAAUUUGAAGCGUUGGAGAUAAUGUAAUUAGAGAGAC